Molecule: ribosomal RNA, 253 nt
Filed under: uncultured bacterium
Lineage: Bacteria
Description: partial 16S ribosomal RNA
Rfam family: Bacterial small subunit ribosomal RNA
Source: RNAcentral
UACGAAGGGGGCUAGCGUUGUUCGGAAUUACUGGGCGUAAAGGGCGCGUAGGCGGUGUGUCAAGUCAGGCGUGAAAGCCCCGGGCUCAACCUGGGAACCGCGCUUGAGACUGGCACGCUAGAGUUCGGGAGAGGAUGGUGGAAUUCCCAGUGUAGAGGUGAAAUGCGUAGAUAUCUGGAGGAACACCGGUGGCGAAGGCGGCAUCCUGGACCGAUAUUGACGCUGAUGCGCGAAAGCCAGGGGAGCAAACGGG